UUUUUUAUGUACACAUUCAAAUUCAUUCAUCCAUUUCUUGUUUCCCUCUUCAGGACCGAUUCAAUUCUGCCCUAAUUCUCAAAUUCCUCCUUUGUCUACGUAAUUCUUCAAUUCCAUUCCUCCUUGUUUUUCAAUCACUGUUCAAUGCAAAACCCAUCUUAGAAACCCUCGAAACAAACCCUCAAAACCCCUAAAAAACAAGGGUCCAUUUUUGAUUUCUCAAUUAAGGCAAAGGGAAGUUCGCCCACAUCUACCUCGCCUGUGAAAUCAAUAGCAAGUGUAUAGUAGCGCUGAAGAUGACUUCCCAGGAGCGAAUAAAAAAGUAUGGAUUGCCCUAACAAUCGUCACCAUAAUGUUUUGAGACUGUAUGGAUGGUUCCACGAUGCGAGGCGGAUUUUCUUCAUUUUAGAGUUAUGGAGGUAUACUGUGUAAAGAGCUACGGAAAUCUUGAUACAUCUCUGAAAGACAAGCCACCACUAACACAUCGAGCCUCACACAAGUCAUAGCAUACUGUCAUGAGAAGGAUGUGAUUCGUUGGGAUAUCAAACCAGAGAAUUCGCUACUCGACCAUGAAGGCAGGCUAAAAAUUGCUGACUUUGGAUGGUUCGUGCAAUCGAAAAGCAAGAUACCACUAUGUUUGGAACUUUAAACUAUUUAGCACCAUAAAUAGUAGAGAAUAAGGCUCACGAUUAUGCAGUUGAUAAUUGAACUCAAGUGUUCUCUACUAUGAAUUUUUGUAUGGAGCCUCUCCGUUCGAGGUUGAAAGCCAGAAAGACAAGUUUAGAAAGAUUCUGAAGGUGAACCCAAACUUUCCAUCCACCUCGCUUGUUGUGAAGGACUAAGCUAAGAGGCUCUCUCUUCAGAAGAUCAUGGAACAUCUUUGGAUAGUUAAGAAUGCUGAUACCAUGGGAACCUGCUCGAAUUAAAGUCGUGCAUUUUAAAUUCUAGUUUAGGACUCUGGUGAUUCAAACUUGUUGAAUCUGAAAGUUUUUAUUCCAAAAACCUGACCACGAAAAUGUGAGUCUGUUCAUUGAUCUAGCAUCCUAUUUGUCAUAUAGUAUUAAGUUGACUUUAGAGAUUGUCCCGUAACGGAAACAAAAUAGUGCAUUCUGUUGUUGAUGGUAUUGGAGUGGAUAUUUGUAAUGCUAAUGGCGCCGACUGUAAGUUAGCUGCUGAAAUUUAUCGUCAAUCUAUUUUAUAAUUGUAUUCUCGUGCAUUUGAUACAAGAAAGGUACAAUGAAUUAUAUUUGCAAAUUGCACAAAUUCUAAUACGAC
RNAcentral lists this long non-coding RNA (1275 nucleotides) under Olea europaea subsp. europaea. The record is from RNAcentral. Lineage: Eukaryota; Viridiplantae; Streptophyta; Magnoliopsida; Lamiales; Oleaceae.